Chinchilla lanigera (long-tailed chinchilla) is the source of this 1830-nucleotide long non-coding RNA. The record is from Ensembl. Lineage: Eukaryota; Metazoa; Chordata; Mammalia; Rodentia; Chinchillidae.
AGCUCCUGGGCUCAGACCUGUCCAGCCAGCCUGGCCCCAGCCCCCGGCCCCGCAGGAGGCGGCCCGAAGCGGGGGACCUUCCUCCCCAAGGUGACCCAGACCCUCCUCGGGGCCUCGCCCGCGGCUGGCGGCUCAGCUGCUCUCUGGCAUCUUUCCAUUCAAGGGCUCCAGGGGUCCGGUCCGCGCUAAACCGAGGAAAGGGAGUUGGCGUCGGUCACACACUCCGACUGCCGCCGGGUCCCUCUUUCCUCUCACUGCCCUCGCUGGGGACCCCUGGGGGAGACGGGUCCUGUGAGGAGCAAGUGUUCUUUCCCUUGGCACAAUGAAACCUGGAAAAUGAAACUGGAGGAUGCUGCUUAUCACCAAAAAGCUGACCUGGUGAGCUGCCCAGUCCUGUUCUCUCCUUGUACAGCCGCGGAAAGAAAAAGCACUACCAGAGCUGCAAAGCAGGCCAACAACGGAGCCUUCGCAGCUUCACCUGCUGAUCAUCAGCCGACCGCUGCAUCAUUUGGGUCCCAAGUGGGACCUGAGUGGAUUAUAACACGGGAGCGGAGCAGCCGGAGGGAAGUCACACAUCACGCAGUUUUAGCAGAUGUGCAGCAAGGGACACCCCUGUGAACGCCGAGGAGCCUGGGUCUGUUAGUGAGGCUUAGAUGAGAAUCCAGUACUGUCCAGCUCCAGCAUGAAGAGCCACCCCGUAAACACAUGACAUCAGGCUCUGAGUCUAGAGAAGGCAGAAUGCCCUCAAGGAGCGUUUGAUUACUCAGUCAGCUCCAGAUACUAGGACAAAGCUCCAGAAAGGUCCACUAGGCCCACAGACCGAACUAAGUUGAUGCAGCUUAUUCAGCCUUUCACAGUGUGAUGAAGUGGAGGGCAAAUGAAAGUUGAAUAGGGAAGGCGGGUGGGCUCAAGCCGUGCUCACUUUCGGUAAUAAGGAUCACACUGGGGAGACCACGGCCCUCGAACCACGGCAGAAGCAAGCCAGAGUGCUUCCCGGGCAGAGGCUGGGGCCCCGGGUGGAGGAAAAGCGCUGGCCUGUGAGCGACAGCCACUACAGCGCUCCUAGUCCAGGAAGCGUCUAAGGGAACCUUGGUGUUACUGGCAGCUGAGUUAGAAAGAAAUAUUUGUUUGUUUGUUUUUUGUCUUUUUGAGACAACGUCUCCCUAUGCAGUUCAGGCUGACUGUGAGCUCCCUUUGUACCCCAGGCUGGUCUCGAACUUGAGACGAUCCUUCUACCUCAGCCUCCCGAGUGCUGGGAUUACAGUGUGUGCCACCACGCCCAGCUUAGAUGGAAAUAUUGUAGGCAGUCAGACACCGCCAGGCCCUGGAAGGAGCCAACAUGAAAGACAAGAUAAGAUGCUUAUUUGCUGUGGGCCAGACCUCAAGACCAAAGGACUAAACAAAUGCACCCACAGACCUCCCUAGGUGUGAACAUCAGGAUUUGAUAUUCUAAGUAGGUAUCGAUCAUCUUGAAGAGUCCCUGACCCAACCCCUCACAGGAAAAUCCCCUGUUCUGUAUUCAUGGCCGCUUGCUACGUGACUCGCUUCCCCAUUUGAUCCUGAUGUAAUCAAUUUUACCUGAACAAUUCUUAUUGGUUGACCAUAGUUUUGUCCAUUUUCUCCUACCUUAGACUCGCCUCGCCUCGUGGUUUUGCUCUAUAAAAGUCCCUAGAAAAGACCGAAUCUUGGGGCAAUCCACUCGCCCCCCCCCCCACUUCUGUCCCUCUCUUGGGCAGAAGCUUUCUUUUCUUUCCCUCAAUAAAUAUAUUCUGCUCUUAACCUCCAUUGUUCCUAAAAUUCAUUCUUCGAUUUUUGAGAACAUGAACUCAU